UACGUAGGGUGCAAGCGUUAAUCGGAAUUACUGGGCGUAAAGCGUGCGCAGGUGGUUUUGUAAGUCUGACGUGAAAGCCCCGGGCUCAACCUGGGAAUUGCGAUGGAGACUGCAAGGCUUGAAUCUGGCAGAGGGGGGUAGAAUUCCACGUGUAGCAGUGAAAUGCGUAGAGAUGUGGAGGAACACCGAUGGCGAAGGCAGCCCCCUGGGUCAAGAUUGACGCUCAUGCACGAAAGCGUGGGGAGCAAACAGG
This 253-nucleotide ribosomal RNA is filed under the name uncultured bacterium. Its description in RNAcentral is "partial 16S ribosomal RNA". It matches the Rfam family "Bacterial small subunit ribosomal RNA", at positions 524 to 776 of the family's 1533-position model. The record is from RNAcentral.